GAUGAACGCUGGCGGCGUGCUUAACACAUGCAAGUCGAACGAUGAAGCCCAGCUUGCUGGGUGGAUUAGUGGCGAACGGGUGAGUAACACGUGAGUAACCUGCCCUUAACUCUGGGAUAAGCCUGGGAAACUGGGUCUAAUACCGGAUAGGAGCGUCCACCGCAUGGUGGGUGUUGGAAAGAUUUAUCGGUUUUGGAUGGACUCGCGGCCUAUCAGCUUGUUGGUGAGGUAAUGGCUCACCAAGGCGACGACGGGUAGCCGGCCUGAGAGGGUGACCGGCCACAUUGGGACUGAGACACGGCCCAGACUCCUACGGGAGGCAGCAGUGGGGAAUAUUGCACAAUGGGCGCAAGCCUGAUGCAGCGACGCCGCGUGAGGGAUGACGGCCUUCGGGUUGUAAACCUCUUUCAGUAGGGAAGAAGCGAAAGUGACGGUACCUGCAGAAGAAGCACCGGCUAACUACGUG
This 466-nucleotide ribosomal RNA is filed under the name uncultured bacterium. RNAcentral describes it as "partial 16S ribosomal RNA". It matches the Rfam family "Bacterial small subunit ribosomal RNA", at positions 28 to 507 of the family's 1533-position model. The record is from RNAcentral.